Molecule: non-coding RNA, 128 nt
Organism: Gossypium raimondii (Peruvian cotton)
Lineage: Eukaryota; Viridiplantae; Streptophyta; Magnoliopsida; Malvales; Malvaceae
Source: Rfam
UAUUAAAAAUUUCAUCCACUUCUAUUGUUAAAAAUUGGCAUGGUUAACAGAAUAAUUGCGCCAUGUGUUCCUCUUACGGAUAUAUAUCGAUCAGCUUUUAACAAUAGAAAUAGAUGAAAUUUUUAAUA